This is a long non-coding RNA of Pieris brassicae (large cabbage white), 359 nucleotides long. RefSeq lists it as uncharacterized. Lineage: Eukaryota; Metazoa; Arthropoda; Insecta; Lepidoptera; Pieridae. The transcript has 4 exons. The record is from RefSeq and is a predicted model, not a curated record.
UCGUGACUGUAUUGAAUAUUUUGUAUGUAAAUACGAAUGGAACACGUUGCAUUGUCUAGACAGAAUUUAAUUUUACAAUUUUAAUCUGUACUGGUAUGUGGACAUUACUGGGUGUAAAACAAGUACCUUUGAAGAGAUGGUUUUGAGGUCAUUAGGGAAUGCAAAUCCAAUGGUUUGUUUUUCCUCUGUAACUCGCAAACUGUCAAACUGCGCAAACGGGCAGGACGCUCAACUGAUGUUAAGUGAUACCAUGAACUCACGUUGCCAGAAGGCUCGUGCGUUGGCCUUUUAGGAGUUGAUCCCGAAGAAGAGAAUCCAAUUCCUCACCUUGAACUAUUUGAUAGCGGUUUGAAUUUCUG